GGUAUGACAGAACUGUGGGGACACGUAAGGAAAGCGGAAGCCGGGAAUGGAAAGCCCGGUGCAAGCGGGGUACCAGUCACUCUGGCAAAUCCGGGUGGCAAUGGGAAGCCGUGAUGCGGAGCGAAAUAAAGUAGCGAAGUCCGUGAGCCAUGCGUCAAGAAAAGCCGCUAUCGUUUAUACCGUACCCGUACCGUAAACCGACACAGGUGGAUGAGGAGAGAAUCCUAAGGCCGGCGGAAGAAGCAUUGUCAAGGAACUCGGCAAAAUGGCCCCGUAACUUAGGGAUAAGGGGUGCCUGGGAAACCAGGCCGCAGAGAAUAGGCUCAGGCAACUGUUUAGCAAAAACACAGGUCUAUGCGAAACCGAAAGGUGAGGUAUAUGGGCUGACGCCUGCCCGGUGCUGGUAGGUUAAGAGGAGAGGUUAGCGCAAGCGAAGCUUUGAAUUUAAGCCCCAGUAAACGGCGGCCGUAACAAUAACGGUCCUAAGGUAGCGAAAUUCCUUGUCGGGUAAGUUCCGACCCGCACGAAAGGCGUAAUGAUUUGAGCGCUGUCUCGACAAUGCAUCCGGUGAAAUUGAAGUACCAGUGAAGAUGCUGGUUACCUGCGCCAGGACGGAAAGACCCCAUGGAGCUUUACUCCAGUUUGGUACUGGGACUCGGUAUUGCAUGUACAGGAUAGGUGGGAGGCUAGGAGAUAGUAACGCCAGUUAUUAUGGAGCCGCUGUUGGGAUACCACCCUUGCAGUAUUGGGUUUCUAACCAGCCGCCGUGACCCGGCGGUGGGACAAUGCCAGACGGGGAGUUUGACUGGGGCGGUCGCCUCCGAAAGGGUAUCGGAGGCGCCCAAAGGUUCCCUCAGAAUGGACGGAAACCAUUCGAAGAGUGCAAAGGCAGAAGGGAGCUUGACUGCGACACCGACGGGUGGAGCAGGUACGAAAGUAGGGCUUAGUGAUCCGGUGGUAUUAAGUGGGAAUGCCAUCGCUCAACGGAUAAAAGCUACCCUGGGAUAACAGGCUUAUCACUCCCAAGAGUUCACAUCGACGGAGUGGUUUGGCACCUCGAUGUCGGCUCAUCGCAUCCUGGGGCUGUAGUAGGUCCCAAGGGUUGGGCUGUUCGCCCAUUAAAGCGGUACGCGAGCUGGGUUCGGAACGUCGUGAGACAGUUCGGUCCCUAUCCGGCGUGGGCGUAGGAUAUCUGAGAGGAGCUGUCCUUAGUACGAGAGGACCGGGAUGGACGGGCCGCUGGUGCAUCGGUUAGACUGCCAAGUCUACGGCCGAGUAGCCAAGCCCGGAAGGGAUAAACGCUGAAGGCAUCUAAGCGUGAAGCCCCCCUUAAGAUGAGAUAUCCCAUUCGAAAGAAGUAAACCCCCUUGAAGACGACGAGGUAGAUAGGGCAGAGGUGGAAGUGUGGCAACACAUGGAGCUGACUGUUACUAAUCGGGUGAGGGCUUGAAC
This 1452-nucleotide ribosomal RNA is filed under the name metagenome. RNAcentral describes it as "bacterial LSU rRNA". It matches the Rfam family "Bacterial large subunit ribosomal RNA", at positions 1448 to 2925 of the family's 2925-position model. The record is from RNAcentral.